AGCUCCAAUAGCGUAUAUUAAAGUUGUUGCAGUUAAAAAGCUCGUAGUUGGAUCUCGGGUACUAGCAUGUGGUACGCUUAAUUGCUGUUACUGCUUGUCUAGUCCUAAUCAAUCGGUUGGCCGUUUAUGCCCUUUACUGGGUGUUUUCGGUAGCCGGUACGUUUACUUUGAGAAAAUUAGAGUGCUUAAAGCAGGCUUUACGCCUGAAUAAUGUUGCAUGGAAUAAUAGAAUAGGACCUCGGUUCUAUUUUGUUGGUUUUGUAGAGCAUUGAGGUAAUGAUUAAUAGGGACAGACGGGGGCAUUUGUAUUGCGGUGUUAGAGGUGAAAUUCUUGGAUCGCCGCAAGACAAACAACUGCGAAAGCAUUUGCCAAGAAUGUUUUCA
This 384-nucleotide ribosomal RNA is filed under the name uncultured eukaryote. RNAcentral's name for it is "SSU rRNA". It matches the Rfam family "Eukaryotic small subunit ribosomal RNA", at positions 587 to 972 of the family's 1831-position model. The record is from RNAcentral.